RNAcentral lists this ribosomal RNA (298 nucleotides) under uncultured eukaryote. Its description in RNAcentral is "partial 18S ribosomal RNA". It matches the Rfam family "Eukaryotic small subunit ribosomal RNA", at positions 1470 to 1796 of the family's 1831-position model. The record is from RNAcentral.
CCCUUAGACACUCUAGGCGGCACGCGCGCUACAAUGGGUGGAAGAACGUGUUACUGCCUCCGAAAGGAGGGGUGAAUCACGAAUUCUUGCACGUGAAUGGGAUAGUUUGUUGCAAUUUUCGGACUUGAACUAGGAAUCCCUUGUAAACAUGCUCAAGAAUAGCGUGUUGAAUACGUCCCUGCCGUUUGUACACACCGCCCGUCGUUUCUUCCGACUGAUACUCAUUGUGAGUUGCAAGGACCCUUUAUUGGGAAAUUGCUGCAAAUGCUUUGUAUUGGAGGAAGAAAAAGUCGUAACA